UACGGGGGGAGCAAGCGUUGUUCGGAUUUACUGGGCGUAAAGGGCGCGUAGGCGGCCACUGCAAGUCGGUUGUGAAAUCUCCGGGCUUGACCCGGAAAGGUCAAUCGAUACUGCAGGGCUAGAGUGCAGAAGGGGCAACUGGAAUUCUCGGUGUAGCGGUGAAAUGCGUAGAUAUCGAGAGGAACACCUGCGGCGAAGGCGGGUUGCUGGGCUGACACUGACGCUGAAGCGCGAAAGCUAGGGGAGCGAACGGG
This 254-nucleotide ribosomal RNA is filed under the name uncultured bacterium. RNAcentral describes it as "partial 16S ribosomal RNA". It matches the Rfam family "Bacterial small subunit ribosomal RNA", at positions 524 to 776 of the family's 1533-position model. The record is from RNAcentral.